UACGGAGGGUGCAAGCAUUGAUCGGAAUUACUGGGUGUAAAGGGCGCGUAGGCGGCAGGAUAAGUCGGAUGUGAAAUUCCGGGGCUCAACCCCGGAGCUGCAUUUGAAACUAUCCAGCUAGAGGUUAGUAAGGGAAAACGGAAUUCCACGUGUAGCGGUGAAAUGCGUAGAUAUGUGGAAGAACACCGGUGGCGAAGACGGUUUACUGGGCUGUAACUGACGCUGAGGCGCGAAAGCUAGGGGAGCAAACAGG
Molecule: ribosomal RNA, 253 nt
Filed under: uncultured bacterium
Lineage: Bacteria
Description: partial 16S ribosomal RNA
Rfam family: Bacterial small subunit ribosomal RNA
Source: RNAcentral